AGUGAACGCUGGCGGUAGGUCUAACACAUGCAAGUCGAACGGCAGCACAGUAAGAGCUUGCUCUUACGGGUGGCGAGUGGCGGACGGGUGAGGAAUACAUCGGAAUCUACUUUUUCGUGGGGGAUAACGUAGGGAAACUUACGCUAAUACCGCAUACGACCUACGGGUGAAAGCAGGGGAUCUUCGGACCUUGCGCGAUUGAAUGAGCCGAUGUCGGAUUAGCUAGUUGGCGGGGUAAAGGCCCACCAAGGCGACGAUCCGUAGCUGGUCUGAGAGGAUGAUCAGCCACACUGGAACUGAGACACGGUCCAGACCCCUACGGGAGGCAGCAGUGGGGAAUAUUGGACAAUGGGCGCAAGCCUGAUCCAGCCAUACCGCGUGGGUGAAGAAGGCCUUCGGGUUGUAAAGCCCUUUUGUUGGGAAAGAAAAGCAGCAGGUUAAUACCCCGCUGUUCUGACGGUACCCAAAGAAUAAGCACCGGCUAACUUCGUG
RNAcentral lists this ribosomal RNA (492 nucleotides) under uncultured bacterium. RNAcentral's name for it is "partial 16S ribosomal RNA". It matches the Rfam family "Bacterial small subunit ribosomal RNA", at positions 29 to 507 of the family's 1533-position model. The record is from RNAcentral.